UAGAGCACCGACAAUUCUGCAGAGUUUCUGCGUUUUCUGUACAGAUUUGAAAGACUUUCAAACUAAAUCAUUUCUUUCCAAAUUUUAACAAUUUCCAUUUGUCAACAAAUUGUUCGAGUCUGUUUUCACUGUUAGGACACGUAAACGAAUUUCAUAGAAUUACCAACAGUUACUACAGAACAACCACUUACUUGAUAAGCAGGCAUGGCGAACCUAGAAGGAAUCGAAUAUGACACAAAAACACUCAUUGCGAGAUUUAACACAGACGAAGAAAAAAUUUCUAGUUUCUUGAAGGGUCAUCUUCAGAAAAUACUAACUAGUUACCUACAGCGUGUAAAACAAAACGAAGGCAGAAAAUCUGUGGAAAUCGAGAAAUUAAUCAACACGGCGAAAACAAAACUGGAACAGCUACCAACAUACGAAAUCGUCGACAAUAAUUUAAAAGAUGAAGAGUUAAUUAAAAUGAAAGAAUUUUUUUUGGAUAUCCAUAUCAAAUUAACUAAUAACAAAGUGCUAGACUACAGGAGUAUUUUCAACACAGCAGUCUACUACGGAAGUUGCAUAGAGAAAAGUUUGCAUCGUUUUGAUGGCACGGAACCAUAUAAUUUAUCAGAAAUGCUCAAGUGUUUAUUCUUAUGUGCGGGGCCUCAGAAAGUAUCGAAAAUACUUUCGGAAAACAUACAUCACUUGGGUGACGUUUCUGAAAAAAUGUAGACACUUAACAUGCCAAAAGGUCGACACAUCAAGCUUAAAAAAAAUUAGCAUCAACUGGAACAAGUUUUGGGGAAGUUAACAAGUUUCCAAAUAUUUCUGUCCAAAGAAGUGAAGAACUUGAUCGAAAUUAAACAGCCGGUUGCAGCGUUGUUAGCACGUUUUGAUGUGUAGAUUUAUUUACUUGCAGUUCAUACAUAAAAUAAAAUUACAAUCAGUUAAACUAAACUAAA
Molecule: long non-coding RNA, 944 nt
Organism: Zophobas morio
Lineage: Eukaryota; Metazoa; Arthropoda; Insecta; Coleoptera; Tenebrionidae
Exons: 3
Source: RefSeq, a predicted model, not a curated record